UACGGAGGGUGCGAGCGUUGUCCGGAAUCACUGGGCGUAAAGGGCGCGUAGGUGGCGCGAGUAGUCAACGGUGAAAGCCCGGGGCUCAACCCCGGGUCGGCCGUCGAUACUCUCGUGCUUGAGCACUGUAGAGGCAGGUGGAAUUCCGGGUGUAGCGGUGGAAUGCGUAGAGAUCCGGAAGAACACCGGUGGCGAAGGCGGCCUGCUGGGCAGUAGCUGACACUGAGGCGCGACAGCGUGGGGAGCGAACAGG
This 253-nucleotide ribosomal RNA is filed under the name uncultured bacterium. Its description in RNAcentral is "partial 16S ribosomal RNA". It matches the Rfam family "Bacterial small subunit ribosomal RNA", at positions 524 to 776 of the family's 1533-position model. The record is from RNAcentral.